This 681-nucleotide ribosomal RNA is filed under the name Arrenurus megalurus. Its description in RNAcentral is "eukaryotic LSU rRNA". It matches the Rfam family "Eukaryotic large subunit ribosomal RNA", at positions 106 to 622 of the family's 3401-position model. The record is from RNAcentral. Lineage: Eukaryota; Metazoa; Arthropoda; Arachnida; Trombidiformes; Arrenuridae.
AGCCCAGCGUGAAGGCCUUAUCACUCCGGUGUUAAGGCGGUGCCACGUUAAUGACUUGUCAUAAUGUUUUGCUGAAGCUUCGUGAAUGCUUUUGAAUAAGCUUCAUUUUAGCCGAAGAGGGUGCAAGCCCCUUGGCGUUGUGGACGCAAAGCAUAGACUUGUCAUGAUAGAGUCGGGUUGCUUGAAAGUGCAACCUAAAGNAGAUGGUAAGCUCCAUCUAAGGCUAAAUAUCGCUGUGAGACCGAUAGCAAACAAGUACCGUGAGGGAAAGUUGCAAAGAACUUUGAAGAGAGAGUUCAAUAGGACGUGAAACCGUUUGCAGGUAAACAGAUGGACCCACGAAGUCCGGUUGAUCAGAGGAUUCAAAUCUUGCAAUUUGUUCUCUACAAGUAAUUGCUUCCUUGACGGAAGUGUAUGCUUGUGUGAGUGCGUUUGUGAGAUGCAUUUUCUCUGAUCACGAUGGAGCUCUGACUGCUAAAUGACUUUCAUUGUGUAGGGCGGCUUCUUGCUGGGAGAUGAACCUUAGGGAUCAAUUCUACAGCUUGAGGUUUCAGUGAAGUCAUUUCAAGUGGUUGAAGUACUCACUUCGGUGAGUGUUCAGGUUGUCGAUGAUUGUUUUAGGCAGAUCGUGCAGGUAUUCAUUCUUUCGGCUCUUGAAGUUGAAAGUGAAUAUUAUGCAGG